UACAUCUAUAUAUGAUAUCGAGAUUUUCUUAGCACUUCGUGCCCGGAAUGUUAAAUGGAUGAGACUGUGUUUGAUGACGUUGCGUCAUUACGUAACAAUUUAAUCGAGAAUUUCUCGAAGCUUUGUUCAGUAUGAGUAUGUGCAUAUGCAUGUAGGCGAAAUUGAUACUUCUAUUCUAUUAUCGGAAAAGACAAAAGGAAAGGUGAACUUGACGGUCGACAAGAUAGUUUUCGAAAAGACACGAAGGUAUAGUUUCCUGUUUUACCCAUUUCCAUCUGGGUAUCAGAGCUCAUGUGACUUGUACUUUUUUCGAGAUUCAUAGGAUUAUUUACUGUCAAUGAUUUAUUGGCCAUAGUUUCUAUAUUCAUCUUGAUUAGUACUUUGGGAUUUAAAAAUGGAGGCACUUAACUGUCAUUCGAAAUAAACGCCAAUCACAGUCUUCAUUUGUAUUAUAUGUAGUUGUACUGUAGAUGUUUAUUUACAAACACGUGUAUGAUUCAGCAGUGACAGAGCACUUGUCUGUAUAUGUUUACAAGAAGAUGGUUCAUAAAUGACUGAAUCUAAAUAUGAGAUUUUAAAUAUAAUUUUACACAAAGGAUUCAAAAAACUAGUUCCAAUGUCGCACAUUGAAUACUUCUUAAAGAAUUCUUAUGAAAUAUGAUAGGAAAUAGUUACAAAAUGUAAUUUUUCAAUAUAUGUGAAAAAAAUGACAAAAAUUGCGAAAAAAUAUGAAAAAAGGAAUCAUGUAAAAUAUUUAAUUCUGAAUAAAUUCAUCUAAAAAAAUCAACUGAUAAUAAGUUACAAGAGUAAAUAAGUUGUAUUUUCAAUAAAAACAAUAAUAGAGACAAAUUACUCUGAA
Molecule: long non-coding RNA, 859 nt
Organism: Vespula pensylvanica (western yellowjacket)
Lineage: Eukaryota; Metazoa; Arthropoda; Insecta; Hymenoptera; Vespidae
Exons: 2
Source: RefSeq, a predicted model, not a curated record